RNAcentral lists this non-coding RNA (45 nucleotides) under Schistosoma bovis. The record is from RNAcentral. RNAcentral also lists the same sequence under 1 other name. Lineage: Eukaryota; Metazoa; Platyhelminthes; Trematoda; Strigeidida; Schistosomatidae.
AUCCAGUUGACGAGUCUUAAAUAAGAUGAAACGCGUGUCCUGGAU